Long non-coding RNA from Eriocheir sinensis (Chinese mitten crab), 577 nucleotides. RefSeq lists it as uncharacterized. The transcript has 4 exons. Lineage: Eukaryota; Metazoa; Arthropoda; Malacostraca; Decapoda; Varunidae. The record is from RefSeq and is a predicted model, not a curated record.
AGCUACUUAUAAGGCCAGGCGGCAUAUAAGUAGCGCCGACAAGGGGAAACUCUACAGGAAUUUAAGUGAUGUUUUCAGCAUUGAAGAUGAGGAGGAUGAAGGACCAUUCGGCGGAGCGAGGGAGAUAGAGCGAGAGGGAGAGUUAGAGCGAGGAUUAGAGCGAGUGGACCUGAGGGAGAGAUUGAAGCAAGGGAAGGAGAACGGAUACCUGCAGAAGAGCACCUUGAUCCUGACCCACACCAGCCUCUUAGUAGUAAGGGACGGGCCUACUACUACUACUACUACUACUACUACUACUACUACUACUGCUACUACUACUACUACUACUGCUACUACUGCUACUACUACUGAUGCUACUUCUGCUGCUGCCUCGCUGGUAGUAGUGGAUAUUGACAGGUUCAUCAUUCCCGGGGCCUCCAAAGCCACCAGACUAAUUAAGGAUCAAAUCUUGCGUCAAAUGGAGAGUCAGUAAUUAUAUAUAUAACUAUUAUUAUUAUUAUUAUUAUUAUUAUUAUUAUUAUUAUUAUUAUUAUUAUUAUUAUUAUUGUUGUCGUCUGCCAUUAAAAUAUAUAUUGUU